UAAUGUCAUGUUGCAAAGUGUAAACUAAAGUGCACACCAAAGUGUACACGUAGCAUGGUCCUUACCGAUUGAACUUUGCUAUUUGUACACUAAUUUUUGCCACGUUAUUUGACACUCGCAUUGUUGUCAAGUGUCAAUUAAAUAGGAAACCUCGUUGAAAUUUAGAUGUUCCAAUAGGGUAAUAUCAUGUGGCAGAGCGUAAACUUAAACACCUCGACCCGC
This 222-nucleotide long non-coding RNA is filed under the name Olea europaea (common olive). RNAcentral describes it as "long non-coding RNA (OEUR_LNC011645)". The record is from RNAcentral. Lineage: Eukaryota; Viridiplantae; Streptophyta; Magnoliopsida; Lamiales; Oleaceae.